ACAGAGGGGGCAAGCGUUGUCCGGAGUUACUGGGCGUAAAGCGCACGUAGGCGGUCCUGCAAGUGGUGUGUGAAACCAAUCAGCUUAACUGAUUGACGCCAUGCCAAACUGCAAGACUCGAGUCAUGGAGAGGUAGUUCGAAUUGCUGGUGUAGUGGUGAAAUGCGUAGAUAUCAGCAGGAAGACCAAGGGAGAAAUCAGACUACUGGCCAUGAACUGACGCUCAGGUGCGAAAGCGUGGGGAGCGAACUGG
RNAcentral lists this ribosomal RNA (252 nucleotides) under uncultured bacterium. RNAcentral's name for it is "partial 16S ribosomal RNA". It matches the Rfam family "Bacterial small subunit ribosomal RNA", at positions 525 to 776 of the family's 1533-position model. The record is from RNAcentral.